UGCAAUGCACUCUGGGGUCACGUGACGGAUUAACUCAUAUGUACAGAAUAUUGCUGUAAAUUUCAAAUCUACAAUGGCGGGAGGAUCUUCAACAGUCGAGAUUGGGUUAGUGCGCAAAAUGAGUGAUUCACACCUGUGCUGAACAGCAGAGGGCAGCAAAUGUUUACAUUCCAUCCCAGCACUUCCCAGCAUGCUUUGGAAUGGCACCCCAAAGGAAAUCUCAUCAAAGCAGAGAGCCCCACCCUCGUACCAAGCUGUGAAAUGUGCUUGAAGACGAAUGAGUGAGUGUGACUCUUGGUAGGAUUAAUCUCUUCCUAAAGAUGAAUCAUCUCCUCCGCCUCACUGCUAUGACAGCAUCACGCGCAAUCACGCUGCAUGGAGGCAAACUGCUUCUCUCAGUCUUUCUGGUUAUAAAGAAGAUGCUUCAUUACAUCCUAUGGUUCCCAGGAAACCAACCUGGAAUUUGUUUGCCUGCUUGGGCGUUUUGAUUAUCAUUGUGAUAUAUUCACUCUGACCUCAUGCUUGAACACAUGAGUUUCACAUGUAAACACAUGGGGAAGAAUGUUUAAUUCAAGUAUUUUUGUUUAUUCCUGUUUGUUUGUGUUUAAAUAAAAUGUUGUGUUUGGAAUUUUCAGUCAUGUUAGUGAAUCUCAUGGUUCAGGUAUAGUAAAAUGAGAACAUGCUCAGCACGGUUAUAACAAUCAUAUUUCAUUUAAAGGGAUUGUUCAACCAAAUGUGAACAUUCUGUCAUCAUUUACUAACCCUUGUGUCAUUUAAAAUCACCUAUAAGAUUCUUUAUUCUGCAAAACACAAAAGAAGAUAUUUGGAAGAAUGUUUGGAACCGGAUGACAGCGGUACCCAUUCACUUCUAUUUUAUGGACACAAAACCAAUACGAGUCAUUGGGUCUGAAAACACUGUUUUGUAUCAUCCUGAAAACCUGAUCCAUAGGAUGAAAAUGCUUUUCGCCUACUUUCUUACCUCAGCAUCAGGACUCGACAAGACCCCACCGAGUGAGUGACUGGAUGAGUUAGCUCAGCUCGUAUCAAGAGAAAACAUAGUUUGCUGUCAGCAUUCUUGCGGGGAUGUGUGUGCGCGUAUGUGUGUGUCAGCAUGUCAAAGCUUUUCAAGCUGGUGUGCAUCUUUGCAUCAGGCAUUUUCCACGUGUCAGUGUUGCCCUUGCCAUAUGUUAUUUUUAUAUGUGCGUGCGUGUGCACAGCUCGUGUCCAUUUAUUUGGUGUGCGUUCCAUGAACAGACGCGCUGCAUUGCAGUUUACUUUUAAAAAGCGACAGUUUAUACCGGCAGCAUGAUUGAACUCUGUGUAAUUGCAUGUUUGUGAAAGCGUGCGUGUGUGUUUUUCAAGUGCAUAUGGAACAGUUGAAGGAUAUUAAUGGUGGAACCAUGUUAAUUAAGAAUUCCCACAAGCCUCCCCCUCGGUACUCCAGAAUGUUUCUUACCGACAGGCUUUGAUUGGAUGCGGUCCAGGAAAUGGACGUGGAUUUAGAAAGGAUAAUUUAGAGGCUAGAUCUCUGAAUAUGUUUAUACAGUCGAACCCCAUUAGUAUUCAGUAGCCUCAAUGUUAUCUGUGAUGGCAAAAGCUGACAGUAUGUGAUAUCGGUUGAAACACUGGUGUGUGCAAAAACUUGUUUAAGAUUAAAAAUAGAAAUGUUAUUCAUGUCUGAACUACAAAGAUUUGUGCUUUCUGUCAGCAUUUCCACAUGAGUCUGAUAUCAAAGCUUUCAUUACCUGAUUCAAAGUCAACAGAGAUUCAUUCAAGAGAUUCAUCCGAGUCAUCAGAGAUUCAUCUGUGUCAUCAGAGAUUCAUCCGUGUCAUCAGAGAUUCAUCCGUGUCAUCAGAGAAUCAUCCGAGUCAUCAGAGAUUCAUCCGUGUCAUCAGAGAUUCAUCCGUGUCAUCAGAGAUUCAUCCGUGUCAUCAGAGAAUCAUCCGAGUCAUCAGAGAUUCAUCCGUGUCAUCAGAGAUUCAUCCGUGUCAUCAGAGAUUCAUCCGAGUCAUCAUAGAUUCAUCCGAGUUGUCAGAAAUCCAUCCUUGUAGUCAGAUAUUCAUCUGGAAUUUAUAAGAGAUACAGAGAAUGUGAUCAGUGAUUCAUCCGAGAUUCAUCAGUGAAUCGCUGACGACUCAAACAAAUCACAGUGAUUCAUUAGAAAUCUGUUCGACAUGGUAAGACACUAUAAGCUUUUCAUAAUGUUGAUAUGAAUUGACUGGAAUUCACGUUACAAUUUUCUUGUUAAUCAUAAAUAGACGAAUCAAUGAUGACUCAAAGCAGCACUGUGAUUUGCAUGAGUUGUCAGCGAUUCGUCCAAGAUUCUUCCAAAAUUCAUCUGAGGCAUCAAGGAUUCAUCUCAGUCAUGAUAGAUUCACAAGUAAUUCAUCAGGGAUUCAUGAAGACUUUAUCAGAAAUGAAUUGAAGUCAUCAGUGAUUCACCAAGAGAUUUGUCCGAAAUUCUACAGAUUCAUCAGAAAUCUUUGAGACAUGAGUGACACUUAGGACCCCGGGCCAGCAGUCACAUCACAGAUUGCUGCCUAGCGGUGUGUAAAUCCAUAUAGCACAGAGAGGAGAGGGCAGGUGCUGACACAAGUCAUCCUGAAACAUUCAGCCUCGGGUAGCAAAAAUCCCCUUGUUGAUACUUGAGGUUUAACAUGACCCAACAGAAGACCAACUCGACAUCAUUCUGCCAUCAUGUGUGACAGACUAUGGAUCUAUAAAAACACGUUUCAGGACAAGCUUUACUAAAUAAUCGAUUGUCUUUUUAGGAUUCCAUUUAGUAUUUGAAAUCUUCUAUUCUUGAAGUAUGAUUAUUAUUUUUGAACUGUAUGGCAAUUCAGUUGAGACGCGGUUAUAUUUACAAUCUUGGUGACUGUGGUGAAGAUACGACAGACCCGCCUCUGAAAGGGACUGUAAUGAUAUGCUGAUGCAUUCUGGGUAAUAGUAACCGAGACCUGUUAUAGGAAGAAGGUGGUGCACCCUUGAGAUUGAAAAUCAAAUUCCUGUCUGAACUCUUAAACAAAUUGAUUCCUUAACCUGGCUCAGUUGUGAGAUGUUGUAUUGAAUAACAAAAUAUCAGUAUCACAGUCCGACGUUUGGAUUGGCUAGGCGCCGAUGUUU
Triplophysa dalaica is the source of this 3124-nucleotide long non-coding RNA. RefSeq lists it as uncharacterized. The record is from RefSeq and is a predicted model, not a curated record. NCBI's taxonomy places the organism in Eukaryota, Metazoa, Chordata, Actinopteri, Cypriniformes, Nemacheilidae. The transcript has 6 exons.